GACGAACGCUGGCGGCGUGCCUAAUACAUGCAAGUAGAACGCUGACUACUUUAGCUUGCUAGAGUAGAAGGAGUUGCGAACGGGUGAGUAACGCGUAGGUAACCUGCCUCAUACAGGGGGAUAACAGUUAGAAAUGACUGCUAAUACCGCAUAAGCACACAGUACCGCAUGGUACGGUGUGAAAAACUCCGGUGGUAUGAGAUGGACCCGCGUCUGAUUAGCUAGUUGGCGGGGUAACGGCCCACCAAGGCGACGAUCAGUAGCCGACCUGAGAGGGUGACCGGCCACAUUGGGACUGAGACACGGCCCAA
This 311-nucleotide ribosomal RNA is filed under the name uncultured bacterium. RNAcentral's name for it is "bacterial SSU rRNA". It matches the Rfam family "Bacterial small subunit ribosomal RNA", at positions 28 to 334 of the family's 1533-position model. The record is from RNAcentral.